UGCCAGGUAGUGAAAUGGCAUCACUGAUGACUCUGAAUCAUCCGUUCCAAGUUCGAAUCUUGGCCUGGCAACAA
Molecule: transfer RNA, 74 nt
Filed under: Parcubacteria group bacterium CG10_big_fil_rev_8_21_14_0_10_41_35
Lineage: Bacteria
Description: tRNA-Gln
Rfam family: tRNA
About the family: Transfer RNA (tRNA) molecules are approximately 80 nucleotides in length. Their secondary structure includes four short double-helical elements and three loops (D, anti-codon, and T loops). Further hydrogen bonds mediate the characteristic L-shaped molecular structure. tRNAs have two regions of fundamental functional importance: the anti-codon, which is responsible for specific mRNA codon recognition, and the 3' end, to which the tRNAs corresponding amino acid is attached (by aminoacyl-tRNA synthetases). tRNAs cope with the degeneracy of the genetic code in two manners: having more than one tRNA (with a specific anti-codon) for a particular amino acid; and 'wobble' base-pairing, i.e. permitting non-standard base-pairing at the 3rd anti-codon position.
Source: RNAcentral